GACGAACGCUGGCGGCGUGCUUAACACAUGCAAGUCGAACGGGGCUUGCCCUUUGGGGUGGGUUUAGUGGCGAACGGGUGAGUAACACGUGGGUAAUCUGCCCUCAGCUCUGGGAUAACUCCGGGAAACCGGGGCUAAUACUGGAUAUGACUACUGGUGACAUCGCCUGGUGGUGGAAAGAUUUUUUGCUGAGGAUGGGCCGCGGCCUAUCAGCUUGUUGGUGGGGUAAGUGGCCUACCAAGGCUUCGACGGGUAGGCCGGCCUGAGAGGGCGGACCGGCCACACUGGGACUGAGACACGGCCCA
This 305-nucleotide ribosomal RNA is filed under the name uncultured bacterium. RNAcentral's name for it is "bacterial SSU rRNA". It matches the Rfam family "Bacterial small subunit ribosomal RNA", at positions 28 to 333 of the family's 1533-position model. The record is from RNAcentral.